UACGUAGGGGGCGAGCGUUGUCCGGAGUUACUGGGCGUAAAGGGCCUGUAGGCGGUGAACUGCGUCCGUGGUGACAGCGCUUCGCUCAACGAAGGGAGGGCCACGGAGACGAGUUGACUUGAGGGCCAGAGAGGGACAUGGAACUCCGGGUGGAGUGGUGAAAUGCGUAGAGAUCCGGAAGAACACCAAAGGCGAAGGCAAUGUCCUGGCUGGUACCUGACGCUGAGGGGCGAAAGCGAGGGGAGCGAACGGG
RNAcentral lists this ribosomal RNA (253 nucleotides) under uncultured Thermogemmatispora sp. Its description in RNAcentral is "partial 16S ribosomal RNA". It matches the Rfam family "Bacterial small subunit ribosomal RNA", at positions 524 to 776 of the family's 1533-position model. The record is from RNAcentral. Lineage: Bacteria; Bacillati; Chloroflexota; Ktedonobacteria; Thermogemmatisporales; Thermogemmatisporaceae.